GCAAGUCGAGCGGAAACGAUCCUAGCUUGCUAGGAGGCGUCGAGCGGCGGACGGGUGAGUAAUGCAUAGGAAUCUGCCCGGUAGUGGGGGAUAACUUGAGGAAACUCAAGCUAAUACCGCAUACGCCCCAAGGGGGAAAGCAGGGGAUCUUCGGACCUUGCGCUAUCGGAUGAGCCUAUGUCGGAUUAGCUAGUUGGUGAGGUAAUGGCUCACCAAGGCCGCGAUCCGUAGCUGGUCUGAGAGGAUGAUCAGCCACAUCGGGACUGAGACACGGCCCGAACUCCUACGGGAGGCAGCAGUGGGGAAUAUUGGACAAUGGGCGAAAGCCUGAUCCAGCCAUGCCGCGUGUGUGAAGAAGGCCUUCGGGUUGUAAAGCACUUUCAGCGAGGAAGAACGCUUGUGGGUUAAUACCCCGCAAGAAGGACAUCACUCGCAGAAGAAGCACCGGCUAACUCCGUGCCAGCAGCCGCGGUAAUACGGAGGGUGCAAGCGUUAAUCGGAAUUACUGGGCGUAAAGCGCGCGUAGGCGGCUUGAUAAGCCGGUUGUGAAAGCCCCGGGCUCAACCUGGGAACGGCAUCCGGAACUGUCAGGCUAGAGUGCAGGAGAGGAAGGUAGAAUUCCCGGUGUAGCGGUGAAAUGCGUAGAGAUCGGGAGGAAUACCAGUGGCGAAGGCGGCCUUCUGGACUGACACUGACGCUGAGGUGCGAAAGCGUGGGUAGCAAACAGGAUUAGAUACCCUGGUAGUCCACGCCGUAAACGAUGUCGACUAGCCGUUGGGGUCCUC
RNAcentral lists this ribosomal RNA (785 nucleotides) under Halomonas smyrnensis. Its description in RNAcentral is "bacterial SSU rRNA". It matches the Rfam family "Bacterial small subunit ribosomal RNA", at positions 57 to 833 of the family's 1533-position model. Lineage: Bacteria; Pseudomonadati; Pseudomonadota; Gammaproteobacteria; Oceanospirillales; Halomonadaceae. The record is from RNAcentral.